GAGGGUAUAGCUCAGUGGUAGAGGGCAUGCUUAGCAUGCACAAGGUCCUGGGUUCAAUCCUCAGUACCUCCA
Molecule: transfer RNA, 72 nt
Filed under: Camelus ferus (Wild Bactrian camel)
Lineage: Eukaryota; Metazoa; Chordata; Mammalia; Artiodactyla; Camelidae
Rfam family: tRNA
About the family: Transfer RNA (tRNA) molecules are approximately 80 nucleotides in length. Their secondary structure includes four short double-helical elements and three loops (D, anti-codon, and T loops).
Source: Rfam by way of RNAcentral